Molecule: transfer RNA, 71 nt
Filed under: Marmota monax (woodchuck)
Lineage: Eukaryota; Metazoa; Chordata; Mammalia; Rodentia; Sciuridae
Description: tRNA.Ala
Rfam family: tRNA
About the family: Transfer RNA (tRNA) molecules are approximately 80 nucleotides in length. Their secondary structure includes four short double-helical elements and three loops (D, anti-codon, and T loops).
Source: RNAcentral
GGGGUUGUGGCUCAGCGGUAGAGCACUCGCCUAGCAUGUGUGGGGCCCUGGGUUUGAUCCUCAGCACCACA